UCACUUUUUUCAAGAACUUAA
This 21-nucleotide non-coding RNA is filed under the name Caenorhabditis elegans. Lineage: Eukaryota; Metazoa; Nematoda; Chromadorea; Rhabditida; Rhabditidae. The record is from RNAcentral.